GACGAACGCUGGCGGCGUGCUUAACACAUGCAAGUCGAACGGUAAGGCUCCAGCUUGCUGGGGUACACGAGUGGCGAACGGGUGAGUAACACGUGGGUGACCUGCCCUGCACUUCGGGAUACGCCUGGGAAACUGGGUCUAAUACCGGAUAGGACCAUGGUGUGGAUACUGUGUUGGAAAGUUUUUUCGGUGUGGGAUGGGCCCGCGGCCUAUCAGCUUGUUGGUGGGGUAAUGGCCUACCAAGGCGGCGACGGGUAGCCGGCCUGAGAGGGUGGACGGCCAGAUUGGGACUGAGACACGGCCCAGACUCCGACGGGAGGCAGCAGUGGGGAAUAUUGCACAAUGGGCGGAAGCCGGAUGAAGGGACACAGAGUGGGGGAUGACGGACUUCGGGUUGUAAACUCAUUUCACCAUCGAAGAAGAGUUUAUGAAGGUAGAUGGAGAAGAAGCACCGGCUAACUACGUG
RNAcentral lists this ribosomal RNA (466 nucleotides) under uncultured bacterium. RNAcentral's name for it is "partial 16S ribosomal RNA". It matches the Rfam family "Bacterial small subunit ribosomal RNA", at positions 28 to 507 of the family's 1533-position model. The record is from RNAcentral.